RNAcentral lists this ribosomal RNA (871 nucleotides) under uncultured organism. RNAcentral describes it as "bacterial SSU rRNA". It matches the Rfam family "Bacterial small subunit ribosomal RNA", at positions 627 to 1510 of the family's 1533-position model. The record is from RNAcentral.
UUGAAACUGUUGUUCUUGAGUACAGUUGAGGUAGGCGGAAUGUGUAAUGUAGCGGUGAUAAUGCAUAGAUAUUACCCAGAACACCGAUUUGUAGGCAGCUUACCAGCGUGGAACUGACGCUGAUGCACGAAAGCGUGGGGAGCGAACAUGAUUAGAUACCCUGGUAGUCCACGCCGUAAACGAUGAUCACUCGCUGUUGGCAAUAUAGAGUCAGCGGUUGAGCGAAAGCACUAAGUGAUCCACCUGGGGAGUACGUCGGCAACGAUGAAACUCAAAGGAAUUGACGGGGGCCCGCACAAGCGGUGGAACAUGUGGUUUAAUUCGAUGAUACGCGAGGAACCUUACCUGGGAUUAAAUGUAGCCGGACGAUUCCGGAAACGGGAUUUCCUUAAUGGCUGGUUACAAGUUGUGGCAUGCCGGUCGUUAUCUUGUGCCGUGAGGUGUCGGGUUAAGUCCCAUAACGAGCGCAACCCUUAUUCGUAGUUGCCAGCGGGUAGAGCCGGGGACUCUAAGGAGACUGCCACCGUAAGGUGUGAGGAAGGUGGAGAUGACGUCAAGUCAGCACGGCCAUUACGUUCAGGGGUACCCACGCGUUACAAUGGCCGGUACAGAAGGCAGCAAACAUGAGAGAGGGCGGGAAUCCAUGAAUCCCGGUCUCAGUUAGGAUUGGAGUCUGCAACCAGACUUCAAGAACUUGGAAUCGUUAGUAAUCGUGCAUCAGCAAAUGCCCGGUGAAUAGGUUCCUCGCCCUUGUACACACCACCCGUCAAGCCAUGGAAGCCGGGGGUACGGGAACUCCGUAACCGCAAGGACCGGCCGAGGGUAAAACUGGUGACUGGGUCUAAGUCCUAACAAGGUAACCAAGGGCGAA